Long non-coding RNA from Stegodyphus dumicola, 488 nucleotides. NCBI's taxonomy places the organism in Eukaryota, Metazoa, Arthropoda, Arachnida, Araneae, Eresidae. The record is from RefSeq and is a predicted model, not a curated record.
GUAAACUUUCUUGCUUUAUGCUAUCUCUGAAAGCAUGUAUAUUUCAGUCAAGAUUGUUGAGUAAAUUGUGCUUAUUUUAUGCUUUUUUCUUUUUUACAUUAGAGAAAAUUCCACACCUUUAUCACGAGGAAAUCUGCAAUGGCAUUUAGGAAUGACAAAUAGAAGCUCAACUAUUCGAAGCAGGAGACCGAAGAGAAAAAAGGAAGAGAGAUGAUAUUACAGCUGCAGAAAAGGAAAUAAUUGAAACGCAGAAGAAUAUAUUAAUGUACUGUGUGAAAUAUGUGACUUGUAUAAGCAAUCAGUUGCAAAUCAGUCUGCUGUCAUAGAAAAUCAAAAUAUAAUUAUUAAUUUAUUAAAAAAUAAAUCAUGCAUUUCAAAUAUUACAGUGUUUUCAUUCUUGUAUGUAUUUCUGCAGUGUGGGAUUCAUAUUUUAAUUGUAAAAUUUACUACUUUCUUAAUUUUAUAAAAUUUUGUGAUUAUAAAAAUUA